GCUGAUUGUUCGUAAUUGUGGGCGCUUUUAUUUUAAUCUUUUUGUUCAUGAGUUUCUGAAUCUGUCUGGCAGCUCCUAAGGAUUUAAUUACUUAAAUAACUCAAAAUAGUAUAUUUAACAUAACUUCCAGCAAAACACGUUUUUGACUGCGCCCCUAUGAAAUCAUAAGCGGGGCUUACUGUCUUACUUAAUCUUACUAUAGAUUAUAGAAACAUGACAAAGGGGCUUUGUUACUGACAUAUUGUGUCAAUGAUUACGAAUGCGUGAACAUGGCAAGGAGAUAAAUAGGUUAUAUGUUCACCGUCUCAUCUCUUGUUAUUCGCUGAAGAAGUGUUUGAAUUAUAAAUAAUUAUAUAAUAUAUAUGGAAAAUAUAUAUGAAAGCGGAUAGUAAAAACCAACUAAGUAUGAAUCGAUUGAUGGAAUUCAGUCCAACUGGGAUGCGAUGGCAAUAAAUUUGGACAAAGCUGAAGCCUUCGAUCGGGCGCGACAGACAGCCCCUUGUGCAAUCCUGGAAUGUGAGGCUGUGGCUAAUCAACGCAC
Molecule: long non-coding RNA, 541 nt
Organism: Pieris brassicae (large cabbage white)
Lineage: Eukaryota; Metazoa; Arthropoda; Insecta; Lepidoptera; Pieridae
Exons: 3
Source: RefSeq, a predicted model, not a curated record